CCUACGGGGGGCUGCAGUGGGGAAUAUUGGACAAUGGGCGAAAGCCUGAUCCAGCCAUGCCGCGUGUGUGAAGAAGGCCUUCGGGUUGUAAAGCACUUUCAGUGGGGAAGAAAGCCUUGGGGCUAAUACCCUCGAGGAAGGACAUCACCCACAGAAGAAGCACCGGCUAACUCCGUGCCAGCAGCCGCGGUAAUACGGAGGGUGCGAGCGUUAAUCGGAAUUACUGGGCGUAAAGCGCGCGUAGGCGGUCUGAUAAGCCGGUUGUGAAAGCCCCGGGCUCAACCUGGGAACGGCAUCCGGAACUGUCAGGCUAGAGUGCAGGAGAGGAAGGUAGAAUUCCCGGUGUAGCGGUGAAAUGCGUAGAGAUCGGGAGGAAUACCAGUGGCGAAGGCGACCUUCUGGACUGACACUGACGCUGAGGUGCGAAAGCGUGGGUAGCAAACAGGAUUAGAUACCCUGGUAGUC
Molecule: ribosomal RNA, 465 nt
Filed under: Vreelandella stevensii
Lineage: Bacteria; Pseudomonadati; Pseudomonadota; Gammaproteobacteria; Oceanospirillales; Halomonadaceae
Description: partial 16S ribosomal RNA
Rfam family: Bacterial small subunit ribosomal RNA
Source: RNAcentral